Molecule: long non-coding RNA, 3215 nt
Organism: Poecile atricapillus (Black-capped chickadee)
Lineage: Eukaryota; Metazoa; Chordata; Aves; Passeriformes; Paridae
Exons: 3
Source: RefSeq, a predicted model, not a curated record
GCCUGUGUCCACACUCAAUAACAUUGUGAAUUCUACAAACAAACAAUGUAACACUGAAAUGUGGGUGCAUUGGGGGUAAAACAGCAAUCCACUUAGCACUGGACCACUCGUUUCCAGCUUUGGGGGGAAUGGUAUGGUAAACUCCAGAAAUGCAAGAGGAAUUCAAGCCCUACAGCCUAAGUUUCCUGGACUAGUCCACCUUCCUUCCUUCCUCGCCAAAUGACGCAUGGAAAGCUGUUGAUCUUCAGUCUGUGGAGACAAUCUAACAUCAGCAACUUUCUGGGGGUGCUGCUACAAGGUGAGCCUCGGACUCUGCCGACGUCCUCUGUCUGUGCUCCCAGAUGACAGCCCAGUGAUGGCAGAUGGAGGGACAUCCCAGGCACUGCACUGGGCCUUUGCUGCUCCCAGAGCUGCCCCACGCCAUGGGACCCCAGCUGCUGGAUGCCUGACCCAGCUCGAUGCUGCUGGAGAUGUGUUAGGGCUGGCUCUGCUUGCUGCUGCCUGCAUGCCUUAUUCUUUUGAGUUAUGCCCCAGCCCGCUCCUGUCCUGUUGUGCUAGUGCCUCCGGGCUGUAUUGAGUUUUCAAUUAUCACAAUAUACAGUGCAGAUGCUAUGCAAAACAGCCAGUGUGGCUGAGCAUGCUGAACUCAGUAGAAACACAGUUAAAUAAAAGUACUACUAUAAUACCAGGAGGCUGAUUGGAACCACAAGAUACCAGUGUCAUAUCCUGUGGCUUUUAUGUUGGUAGACGUAGAUUUCAGCCAUUAAAGUCUAGCUAUCCAGCAGAUAACAACUAGAGGAAAUGGAUCUGGGUAUCUUCAGUUGUGAGUAACUGAUAUACAUUUGCCCAUAAAUGCAGAACCUGCUAAACUGCAGAAGAAGAAACAUUUGAGAUAUCUACAAAUAAAUCCAGGCAUGUACUAUGGAGUAGGAUUUAACUGUGUGCAGCUUAAACUCCCCGAACACAAAAUACAUUUAAAGUGGUACAUCAAGAGAGCUCUGACUUCAGAGAACCAGUGUGUGGCUACUUGUCAAUUCCAAAUUCAGGCAAGGAAAUAAACAGCAAAUGUAGGUCUCAACUUCUGUAUUUGUACAUGCAGUAACAAGCUCCCAGAUGAUACCGAUAUUGAGAUAUCUACGUGAGGGUAAAAGACUGACAGAAGAGGAAGAAAUAAACAAUAAAUACAAUAAUGUCAAAUUUUCCUGUCAUUAACUUCUAGGAAAGCUCAACAGCUGGAAUUUUAAAAUGUCUUAUGUAGACAAAUGUUAAGAGAACAACACAUUAAGUGUGUUUUUUCCAAAGGAAAAUGAAAUAGGCAUAAAGAGAAAAUUAUUAUAUUUAGUACUCUCAGGGCAAAUUCUACUUUAGGACUGUGAAAUAAUUUGAAAAUAUUAAUGAUUUAGCCUCACAGCUAGCUUUCAGGUAGAGAAUAAUGAUAAUUAUUACUAUAAAUAAAUAGUACUAUUAUCAUUCUUGCUCAGAAGAAUGGAAUAUUGAUGCAUAGAGAAUUCUGUAUUUGUCCAAAGUCUGUGUUUUACUACUGUAAUCAUCCUUCUAAAGAACUAUUAUAUAUUAGGAUUAUCCUUUUCCAAAUACUCUUUGAUAUAGUCUUCAGUUUAUCAGUUCUAAAAACCAACCAACCAAGCCUCCUUGUGAAACAGUGCCAGUGAACAUCUCCAUUUGCAUGUGAAUUCUCCAGCAGCAGCAGCCCUGCUUAAAAAAAAAAAAAAAAAAAAAAAAAAAGAGAGAGAAAAGGAAUCAUGAAAAUCAGUACAAAAUCUGUCAAGGCCCUAUCUGUGACUGGGUAUCAGAAUAUCACUAAGAAGCUCUGAAGAACAAAGUUCAUUCCAAGUCUAACACAUAGUGCUUUUUGGUCGAUGAAAUUAAUUCAAGCAGGGAGAAAUGAGAGUGCAUACCAUGAAAAACUGUUCCUCCACUGAGGAUCGAAGGAAAGAGGCAUCGCUGUGUGUGGUCUUGGUUUUGGUGUACAUAGCCAUGCUUAAGCACUAAAAUAAUCAGCAUGUCUCAUUUUGAUAGCCAGGUAUGCCUGCUGCUCCUCUGAGGAGUGCCAGGGAGUGAGGGACCUCUGGUCCUCACAGGAUGAGGACUCAGAUUACAUAUGAUUGUUGCAAAAAGCAAGAUUUACAGCCAGCUACCUGAAGUAGUACGGAAACAAAAUUAUAGUCUCCAUCCUGGUCUUGAAAAUCGCUCUACAAACAUGUUUAUUUCCUUCUGAAUGGGAAUAUAUAAAGGCUGGGGAUACUUACUUGUAGGCUAUUUUUGUAUCUCCUCUUCAGGAUCUGAAUCUUGCAUAUUAAUGAACUACAGGAAACAGGAAAACCAAACAUUAACACCAUUCUAAUGCAGCAUACUAUUUUUCUUUCCCUUUUUUUAACUGUUAGAGUAUGCAAAUGUUCAGUUAACUGGUCCUCAUGUUUUCUCUUUAUUGAAUUGCUUUCACUAUGGCAAAUAAAUAUUCAUAAAGAAAUGUGGACAAUAAAUCAUUUCAAAUAGUUCAAAGCCAUUUUCUUUCUAGACUGCAUAUAUUUUCAGCUGUAACUCGCCUUUAAUAUUUCAUUCAAAAGACAGACUUGUAGAAGGACAAUGGAGAUAAUGUGUCAAGUAGUAAUUAAAACAGGGAGUAAUGAUUAAAACCAUUUUGAUCUACAUUGUGCUCUGCCAGAUUCAUAAUCUCCUGUGUUUGUUCGGAUGACUUUCUACUUGCUUUAUACAGAAACUCAAAAUAAACUUCAGUUUGAAGACACUGCAGAAAACAAAAGAUUUCAGCCCCAACCUUGUGAAGCCCAGAGCUCUUCCCAGUCCUGGAGUUUAGGUAUAUAUUCUGUACCAUCCUAGCAGAUAAACUCAAGCAGGCACUGUCUUUCCUGCUAAUAUUGUGACUUCUCCAGGAAGCAGAUCCAAAUGCAGAGCAGAAGACAAGGAAGGGCCAUCCCAGUGUGUAUAGGUAAACGUAUAUCUCACCAUUUAGAUUUAAGCUAAGAGCUUCAAAAGAAAUUAAAUUUAUAAAAUCUGGUUAGCUUGUACAUUUAGGGAUCUUGGUCCAAAUCCAAGUAAUAAUUAUGUUCCUUGUCUCAUUGUACGUUUUGGCUGUUAAUACACAUAUUUGGCCCAAACUCAUUGUCUUUCCUGAUGUGUUGCUGACUUUAGGCCCUGAUUCAACAGAGAACUUACAUACAGACUUAAAUAAAUUGAUU